AUUGAACGCUGGCGGCAGGCCUAACACAUGCAAGUCGAGCGGAUGAAGGGAGCUUGCUCCUGGAUUCAGCGGCGGACGGGUGAGUAAUGCCUAGGAAUCUGCCUGGUAGUGGGGGAUAACGUCCGGAAACGGGCGCUAAUACCGCAUACGUCCUGAUGGAGCAAGUGGGGGAUCUUCGGAACUCACGCUAUCAGGUGAGCCUAGGUCGGAUUAGCUAGUUGGUGGGGUAAAGGCCUACCAAGGCGACGAUCCGUAACUGGUCUGAGUGGAUGAUCAGUCACACUGGAACUGAGACACGGUCCAGACUCCUACGGGAGGCAGCAGUGGGGAAUAUUGGACAAUGGGCGAAAGCCUGAUCCAGCCAUGCCGCGUGUGUGAAGAAGGUCUUCGGAUUGUAAAGCACUUUAAGUUGGGAGGAAGGGCAGUAAGUUAAUACCUUGCUGUUUUGACGUUACCAACAGAAGAAGCACCGGCUAACUUCGUG
This 484-nucleotide ribosomal RNA is filed under the name uncultured bacterium. RNAcentral describes it as "partial 16S ribosomal RNA". It matches the Rfam family "Bacterial small subunit ribosomal RNA", at positions 30 to 507 of the family's 1533-position model. The record is from RNAcentral.